Molecule: ribosomal RNA, 254 nt
Filed under: uncultured bacterium
Lineage: Bacteria
Description: partial 16S ribosomal RNA
Rfam family: Bacterial small subunit ribosomal RNA
Source: RNAcentral
UACGGAGGGGGCAAGCGUUGUUCGGAAUUACUGGGCGUAAAGGGCGCGCAGGCGGCUGCUCAAGUCAGGCGUGAAAGGCCUGGGCUCAACCCGGGAAUUGCGCUUGAGACUGGGCUGGCUUGAGUGCGGGAGAGGAUGGUGGAAUUCCCAGUGUAGCGGUGAAAUGCGUAGAGAUCCGGAAGAACACCGGUGGCGAAGGCGGUUAGCUGGGGUCGGACUGACGCUGAGGCGCGACAGCGUGGGGAGCAAACAGG